AUUGAACGCUGGCGGCAUGGCUAAAACAUGCAAGUCGAACGCGAAAGGGGGGCAACCCCGAGUAGAGUGGCGAAAGGGCGAGUAAUAUAUUUCUAACGUACCCCGGACUCGAGGAUAGCUCACCGAAAGGUGAAUUAAUACUCGAUGAUGCUGACGAGUUGUAUGACUUGUCAUCCAAAGGCUUGCUGGUCUGGGAGCGGGGAAUAACCUAUCAGGUAGUUGGUGAGGUAACGGCNCACCAAGCCUAAGACGGGUAGCGGGUGUGAGAGCACGGCCCGCCGCAUCAGGACUGAGACACUGCCCGGACUCCUACGGGAGGCUGCAGUAACGAAUAUUCCGCAAUGCGCGAAAGCGUGACGGAGCGAUGCCGCGUGCAGGACGAAGCCCCUCGGGGUGUAAACUGCUGUCAGGGUUUAACCAAAAAUAGAGAUACCAAAGGAAGAGGCGGCUAACUCUGUGCCA
Molecule: ribosomal RNA, 462 nt
Filed under: uncultured bacterium
Lineage: Bacteria
Description: bacterial SSU rRNA
Rfam family: Bacterial small subunit ribosomal RNA
Source: RNAcentral